Small nuclear RNA from Penaeus monodon (black tiger shrimp), 185 nucleotides. RefSeq annotates it as U2 spliceosomal RNA. The transcript has a single exon. NCBI's taxonomy places the organism in Eukaryota, Metazoa, Arthropoda, Malacostraca, Decapoda, Penaeidae. The record is from RefSeq and is a predicted model, not a curated record.
AUCGCUUUUCGGCCUUUGGCUAAGAUCAAAAUGUAGUUCUGUUCUUAUCACUUAAUAUCUAUACGAUCCCCAUUGGGGUCUACGAUAUUAAACGAUUUUUGAAAAAGGCUAAGUCUAGGGCUUGCUCCACCUUUGCCGCGGAUCGGCCCGGGAUUGCAGUACCUCCGGGAUUUGGGCCCUCCUCC